GAACUUUGAUUUCUGCACAAAAAUAACACCAAGGCAAUUCUGCUGAAAACAGCGUCAGUCUAGGUUAGUUCCAUUCAAAUCAUGCAAAUUAGAGUCCAAAACAAGGGCAAAAGAGUUUGGAAAAGUAGAUACGAUGGAGACGUAUCAACUCCCCAAGCUUAAAACCUUGCUUGUCCUCAAGCAACUCAGUUGACAAAAUGAGAGAGAAACAAAAACUUUGACAAACUCUGUUUGAUCUUGUUGUUGCAACUAUGUCUAACUCAUAACCAGAAUUUCAGCAAGAUCACAAGUUAACCACAUAAGCAAGUGACACAAAGUUAUCACGGUAAACUAAUAUCAAUGGCAUAAUCAGCUAACGAGAAAAUAAUAAUGAGUUUGAAAUACCAACACUUCAAUCGAAACAAGCAUGAAGCAAUAUGAAUAGGUGGUAUCUCGCUAGCUCUUUC
RNAcentral lists this long non-coding RNA (446 nucleotides) under Hordeum vulgare. RNAcentral describes it as "long non-coding RNA (HVUL_LNC014891)". The record is from RNAcentral. Lineage: Eukaryota; Viridiplantae; Streptophyta; Magnoliopsida; Poales; Poaceae.